Molecule: ribosomal RNA, 585 nt
Filed under: uncultured Sphingobacteriia bacterium
Lineage: Bacteria; Pseudomonadati; Bacteroidota; Sphingobacteriia
Description: bacterial SSU rRNA
Rfam family: Bacterial small subunit ribosomal RNA
Source: RNAcentral
CAGGUCACUCCUACGGGAGGCAGCAGUAAGGAAUAUUGGUCAAUGGACGCAAGUCUGAACCAGCCAUGCCGCGUGGAGGAUGAAGGCCCUCUGGGUUGUAAACUUCUUUUAUCUGGGACGAAAAAGGGACUUUCUAGUUCAACUGACGGUACCAGAGGAAUAAGCACCGGCUAACUCCGUGCCAGCAGCCGCGGUAAUACGGAGGGUGCAAGCGUUAUCCGGAUUCACUGGGUUUAAAGGGUGCGUAGGUGGGUUGGUAAGUCAGUGGUGAAAUCUCCAGGCUUAACUUGGAAACUGCCAUUGAUACUAUUAAUCUUGAAUACCGUGGAGGUCAGCGGAAUAUGUCAUGUAGCGGUGAAAUGCUUAGAUAUGACAUAGAACACCAAUUGCGAAGGCAGCUGGCUACACGAAUAUUGACACUGAUGCACGAAAGCGUGGGGAUCAAACAGGAUUAGAUACCCUGGUAGUCCACGCCCUAAACGAUGGAUACUCGACAUACGCGAUAUACUGUGUGUGUCUGAGCGAAAGCAUUAAGUAUCCCACCUGGGAAGUACGAUCGCAAGAUUGAAACUCAAAGAAUUGACG